Molecule: long non-coding RNA, 326 nt
Organism: Lates calcarifer (barramundi perch)
Lineage: Eukaryota; Metazoa; Chordata; Actinopteri; Centropomidae
Exons: 4
Source: RefSeq, a predicted model, not a curated record
CAGAUCGUCUCCUGCUCUGCCUGUGGAUCAGCGUACGCCUCAACAAUCUGUUCGUCCUGCGGUCGAGGAUUUCACAGAGACUGUCACAUCCCCCCUGUGGGACCUGACAUCCAUUUCUCCUCACAGGUCUGAGGUCAGAGUUUAGUCUGCUGAGUGACGUAUAAAAUAUGUCGACAACUGAGAGGAAAACUCUGCUCAGAGUGGAUCUGCUCGUUGUGUCAGGACCUGUCGGAGCCAUCAGACCCCUACAGCUCAGACCGACCACAGGGUCCUCAGAGUCUCAGUCUGCUGAACCAGAGGAGGUGUGAGAGUCUGCUGCUGCAGCU